UCCGUAUGCUGUUAUGUUCAGCGCCAGC
Molecule: small RNA, 28 nt
Filed under: Bombyx mori (domestic silkworm)
Lineage: Eukaryota; Metazoa; Arthropoda; Insecta; Lepidoptera; Bombycidae
Description: ovarian small RNA-27589
Source: RNAcentral